Molecule: long non-coding RNA, 384 nt
Filed under: Homo sapiens (human)
Lineage: Eukaryota; Metazoa; Chordata; Mammalia; Primates; Hominidae
Description: non-protein coding lnc-RIOK2-3:1
Source: RNAcentral
AUGGCUGAUGCUGAUGUAAAUCCAAAGGCCUACCCUCUCGCAGAUGUCCACCUCACCAAGAAACUACUGGACCUCGUGCAGUAGCCAUGUAACUACAGGCAGCUUUAGAAAGAAGCCAAAGAGGCCACCAAAACCCUCAGUAGGGGCAUUUCUGGGUUCAUUGUGGGGGCUGCAGAUGCCAAGCUGCUGGAGAUCAUUCUGCACCUGCAGCUGCUGUGUGAAGACAAGAAUGUGUUCUACGUGUUUGUAUGCUCCAAACAGGCCCUCGGGUGGGCCUGUGGGGUCUCCAGAUCUGUCAUCGUCUGUCCUGUCACUGUCAAAGAAGCUCACAGCUCAAGCAGUAGAUCCAGUCCAUUCAGCAGUCCAUUGAAAGACUUAGUCUAA